AAAUUUAAUAUUGUUUCCCAAUACAUAUUUACGUCCAUAGAAGAUUUGUAAUAGGUGUUUGUUUCCUGAGUUUUAAAGGCUUUCAAGAUUGUGGUAGAAUCUUGACGAGGGCAGUUAUACUAGGAAGGGUGAAAGAUGUUAGAGUUAGCCCCUUUGGUUAUAGAGUUGUAACCUAAUACCAUUUUUGUAAGUGGAGAUUUGAGGUAAAUCCUAGUUUUUAUUCCCUUUAUCAAUAAACUUGUGUUUUACUAUUCUGUAUUUACAUCUUGAUUGCUGAUGAAAAUUGUUCGGUCUAUUUUCCAGACUGCUAUUGAAUCAGUAAAAGAAGACUCGAAGUGUGUGUAAGCGGCCUAUCUCAUUCAUUUCAUUUCCUUUAAUCAUGUCUGACAUCAAUCAUCAUCUCCCAUCCGCGCAAAGAUGGAUUUCAAACCUGGUUUUUCAGAACAUAGUUGGCAGCAUGCAUAUAUAUAAAUAAAAUUCAAUUAUCCAAUAAAAGCUAAUUGAUAUGUAAUAUGUUUGCAGUAUUCUAGCUUAGAUGGAUUUGUAGUCUACUUAAAACUUUUACUCCCACAAAUGUUAUGCAAGGAUUAGUUAUGCUAUAGUUAAGUGUUGAAUUUUGAGUUAGGUAUGGACAAUGAAGGUGAUAGAUUUUUCUGAUGUAUUACCUUCAUAACUUUGUCAUUUUUGGUAAAUGUGGUUGUAUUAUAUGAUAUGCACAC
Molecule: long non-coding RNA, 719 nt
Filed under: Capsicum annuum
Lineage: Eukaryota; Viridiplantae; Streptophyta; Magnoliopsida; Solanales; Solanaceae
Description: long non-coding RNA (CANN_LNC007838)
Source: RNAcentral